CUACGGGCCGCACCAGUGGGGAAUAUUGCACAAUGGGCGCAAGCCUGAUGCAGCCAUGCCGCGUGUAUGAAGAAGGCCUUCGGGUUGUAAAGUACUUUCAGCGGGGAGGAAGGGAGUAAAGUUAAUACCUUUGCUCAUUGACGUUACCCGCAGAAGAAGCACCGGCUAACUCCGUGCCAGCAGCCGCGGUAAUACGGAGGGUGCAAGCGUUAAUCGGAAUUACUGGGCGUAAAGCGCACGCAGGCGGUUUGUUAAGUCAGAUGUGAAAUCCCCGGGCUCAACCUGGGAACUGCAUCUGAUACUGGGAAGCGUGAGUCUCGUAGAGGGGGGUAGAAUUCCAGGUGUAGCGGUGAAAUGCGUAGAGAUCUGGAGGAAUACCGGUGGCGAAGGCGGCCCCCUGGACGAAGACUGACGCUCAGGUGCGAAAGCGUGGGGAGCAAACAGGAUUAGAUACCCCCGUAGUC
This 464-nucleotide ribosomal RNA is filed under the name uncultured bacterium. RNAcentral's name for it is "partial 16S ribosomal RNA". It matches the Rfam family "Bacterial small subunit ribosomal RNA", at positions 339 to 795 of the family's 1533-position model. The record is from RNAcentral.